RNAcentral lists this ribosomal RNA (500 nucleotides) under uncultured organism. Its description in RNAcentral is "SSU rRNA". It matches the Rfam family "Bacterial small subunit ribosomal RNA", at positions 40 to 509 of the family's 1533-position model. The record is from RNAcentral.
CGGCGUGCUUAACACAUGCAAGUCGAACGGGACUGAUUGAAAGCUUGCUUUUGAAAGGUCUAGUGGCAAACGGGUGAGUAACGCGUAGGCAACCUGCCUCUAAGAUGGGGACAACAGAGCGAAAGUUCUGCUAAUACCGAAUGUUGUGGGUUUACCGCAUGGUGAAUCCAUUAAAGAUGGCCUCUACAUGUAAGCUAUCACUUAGAGAUGGGCCUGCGUCUGAUUAGCUGGUUGGUGAGGUAACGGCUCACCAAGGCGACGAUCAGUAGCCGGUCUGAGAGGAUGAACGGCCACAUUGGGACUGAGACACGGCCCAGACUCCUACGGGAGGCAGCAGUGGGGAAUCUUCCGCAAUGGGCGAAAGCCUGACGGAGCAACGCCGCGUGAGUGAAGAAGGUCUUCGGAUCGUAAAGCUCUGUCGAAGGGGACGAAUGCAGUGCCUAUCAACAACGGGGACUGGUGACGGUACCUUUCAAGAAAGCCACGGCUAACUACGUGCC